Molecule: long non-coding RNA, 4665 nt
Organism: Oreochromis niloticus (Nile tilapia)
Lineage: Eukaryota; Metazoa; Chordata; Actinopteri; Cichliformes; Cichlidae
Exons: 2
Source: RefSeq, a predicted model, not a curated record
AGCAGCUGUGGCUGUGAGGGCUUAGCAGUAAACAGCUAAUAGAAAACUGUAUCUACAUGAACGUCUCAGUGCGCGUUCCUUCAGAACGCUCCUCCCUUUAUUUUCUUUUUUUUUUAGCUUUUGCUGCAUUUUUUGUAUUUGUUGGUGUUUUCAUAGGUUAGAAUACGUUUGACCUCUCAGGGCCACCGUAACCAUACCGUGCACAGAUAUGACAGAAACCUCAUGUUGGGAAAAUAAGGUUGAACACCAUCACAAAAUUUGAAUAUGUUAACAAAAACCCGCCCACUCUAAAAAGUAUUUAUUAAAAUCUGACCUUACUAAGCCACACCCCCUCUGGUGAUGUCACAUAAAGUUGUUACAGAAAUGACUUUAAAUGUUAUUGUAGUGAUAUAGUCGAUGGUGAUCGCACAGGCCGCCUGGUUGGAGGCAACCUGUCUCCAAAGGAUUGCUUUGACAGCCUGGUGAAGGUUUGCAGACAGGUUGCCACCAUGUUACCUGUCUGAGUCCGCCUGCGCCGAUGAGCGCAACUCACCUGUGAUGGACUUGGUUAUAUGCAUGUGUCAUUGUACAGUUAAUCUCUGAUUUAUCACCAUAGGCAACUUUAUCACUGUUUGUGCAAGAAUCUCCAUUUGCUUCUGUCUGUGCAUGUACUGUAGACGGCUAACUUAUUGCUAACUCUACUCCAUCAGUUGCUUUGAGAGCAGAAACUGACUGCGAGUGGUUGCAGACCCGCGCCGUCUCUGAAGCAAUCGUUUCAAAGCAACGAGAGUUCUGUGAAAUCUUUGCAGAAAGUUGCAAUAAGUUUGGUCGUGCCUCAUCUGUCACAGUAUUUUAUAUUCCUGGUACACCAGGACAUGUUAAGCUUAUAAAAGCUGCUAAUCCUGUCAGUUUGGUUGUAACAGGCUACAGAUAAAAGCUGCUGGGUGCGCUCUUUUACACUCAUACAUUAGGAGACUUUUCCGGUGACAAUAUUAAAUCUGCCUUGAAGGUGAAAAUAGGAAAAAGUGCUGAACACUGAUUAAAAGCAGAGUGAAGUGAACAAAAACCAAAAUCAGGUUCCAAAAAUAGCCCCGUCCUAUACUGAGGAUCUCUGCCGCGAUCUGAGCCCCUGCAGCUGUCUGUCCGCUCUUCCCUCAGCUUCGUGCUGUAUUUGAUGGCAGCGCUGCUGUAUUGUGCAGCUCAGACACUGGAGGGCAGACGAUGAGCCGCCCUGCUACGCAGCUGGCCACGGCACAUCAAAACAGCCCUGCUUUUUGUAUCCCUGCCAUUUUAAACAGAGCUUCACUAAGCCAAUUCCCCCUGAAGAAUGACCAUCCAUCGCCCCUUUUUAUCUGCCUCUUUGAAGUGCCGAGCUGUUGGGAUAGUCUUGAGCCCAGGAAGAGAGGGGCAAUUUGGAUGUUAAUCCUCGUCUGAGCACCAGAGAUGUCAGCUGGAAAAAGUCAGGUGCUGGUGUAAUUCCUGCUAUUCCUCUGUAGCUUUUGUCUGAGGCUCCACCAUCAUCACAUUCUCCAAGCAGCACACGCAGGUCCCUCCAAACCGAAUCAAGGAAUUUUCCUUCCUAAUGAUUCAUCCAUAGCGAUCUGAAAAGGCCAGGUGCUCUCUAUUAUUAGAGUCCAGCUUUUCUGGUGUUGCAGCACGUUUGCAUUCAGAGCGGGAAACGGGACCGUCCAUUCUAACGCUUGCACAACUUAAAAGGACGAGCGGGAAAGGGCUUUGUCUCCCUCCGGAUUCCGAGGUUCACUAUCAGUUUAACGCAUGAUCGAGGAAAAGGCUCAUUUUCCUUUGCAGUGCUGAGACCUUUUAAUCUCAAAGGCUGCAUCUCAGAUGGGAGGACAACUAGGGCUGCAUGCAAAGGUUGGAGGUACACACGGAAAUCUUGGAGGCCAGGUCACGUUAGCGUUUUCAUGGCCGACCGGUUUUUCUAAUGAUUUAUAUGGAAAUAUCUAUAUCUAAAAGUGCAUUUUCAUUUUUUCAUUAGAUGAAAUGUUAGCGUAAAAGCUGGUGGCCGGCAGCAGAUCCUCACAGUUAAGGAGCUGAAAGCGAUCAUACAUCUGCUCCCGUUUAAUCGUCUCGAUUAUGUGUGUGUCCGCGUCUUUAGCCACGGCUCUGUGUGGCGAUCUCACAAACAUCAGCUAGUAACGAGCUUCUCUGUCAAUCCCGAGACGUAAUCAGGAGUUCAGAACUUCAGCGGGACCUCAGGGUCAACAUACCGUCUCUCUCAAAUGUCUGCGUCAGACAGGUACGCUUCUGAUUUGAGCUUAAGAGCUUCACUUUAGCGAAGUGAAGUCGUGAAGAUGAGCUGGAAACAGGAAGGAGUUUUAUGAAAGGCAGGAUCAGCACACCUUGGUGAGAUCAGUACAUCGGGAUUUAUUCACUGGAGAGCUUUUAGACAUGGCAGCAUUUCACUGCAGAUGAUGGAGAAAUGGAGGAUGUAUGGAAGAUUUAUAGAGCUUCUUUCAAAAAUAUCUGAAAACUCAAUGAUUGUGGUCACGUCACAACUUCUGAAGCCUGCCUUUGUAAACCUGACGAUGCCUUUUGAGUCCUCCUAGUCCUCAUUUAGAAAUUUCAGCCUGUUCUUUCUUGUAUAUUUCCAGCUCUGCUGAUAUACUGUUUAUAAACCACAAAUUAAUCCACUGGAGGAAAAAUUGCCAAAGGAACAAGUGAAGAGAUGAAGUUUCAGUCUCCAGCCGCCAAAAAGUCUGACAGCUGCAACGAAGGUUUGAUGAACUUAUCAGCCCACAGAAAUCUUCACAAAAUGAACUUCAGCUGAAUAUUUAUUGGAACAAAGGAGAUCCUUUUAUUUUCAGAUCACAAUCCUCGGCUCUCAGAUCUGGAGUCGACCCUUCGUUACUUUCUGACAGACUGCAGAAGAACUCCUCAUUACGUCAAAGUUUAAAUGAACUCCAUCUGGUUGUCAGUUUGACUCUGACUGGAAAUCCUUUCUCUCUCCUGAACUGAGAUCACCCUCUCAUCAGCGGCUCCGUGUGCACUGAGCGAUCAACUGACCCGACAGGCUUUGCGUGUCUCAGAUUUGAUGAACAACUGAUGACAUUUGUGAAGCUGGAAGGUUCAUGAAGGUGUGCGGAGCAGCACAUUUUAGAGAUUUAUUUUGUAAACACUGGCUUCGUGUUAGAAACCAGACUGAAUCAUGUGGCUCCUUCCAAUGUGGAGAAAGAGCAGCUCUACUCGAGUCACUCCUGAACCUUAGAGGGAGAGUCCAGACACCCCGGUGAGGACGCCUGUGUCUGCAGUGUUUUUCUGGCACUGCCAGCACCUCAUGGCCACAGGUGAGGGGAAGAAUGCAGAUCGAUCAAUAAAUCGACAGCAACAGAAAAAGCUCAGAAAGUUGUUGAUGUCAGACAGAAAGUGUGACUGACAAAGCUAAAGUGUUGGGUUCAUGGCAGAGCUGUAAUCUGGUAUUUGGUCCUAACUGUCCCCGAUCAGACUAACAGCUGAUCAACCAGGUCUUUAUAUUUUUAUACAGGCUAAGCUACCAGCCUGUUGUAUAAAUGUUCAUCCAUUAUCUUCCCAAAUCUACACUUCCAAGUUCAUAAGUUAGAAGAACAGCUUCCAAACUUCAGAGGGGCAAAAGAGUAAACUACAAGUUUACAGUAACUUGUCAUGACAAAGAACGUUUCUGUGAAAAAAGUCCACCCAUAUGCUUUCAUAUGAAUUAGGAUAAAUAAGCAGCACCAAGGUCCUGAUAAUCCACAGCAGCAGAUUAACUCAUCAGCAGAUUUUAUAGAGGUGUGCGAUGGUACCUGAGUGCUACAUCUUAGACUCCAAAGGCCUAAUAAUGAGUGCGGCUUCCUCUCUCUAAGCCUGGCACAGUAGCAUCUGAACAAACUACAAGUGUGUACGCACAAAUCUGCCAGUCAUCAAUAUUUCAUAACUGGAUUUGUUUGGUGUUGCAUGUCCCACCGGAGGAGGCCCCGGGGCAGACCCACGACACACUGGAGAGAUUAUAUCUCUCGGCUGGCCUGGGAGCCUUGGUGUUCCCCCGGGUAAGAUGGAGGAGGUGGCCGGGGAGGGGGAGGUCUGGGCUUCUCUGCUUGGGCUGCUGCCCCCACGACCCGGCCCAGAUAACCAGAAGACGGAUGGACGUAUUUGUUUGUACUUUAGAAGCAGCUCAGACUGAAAAUUCAGGCCGUCUCUGUGCAGCAUGACAGCAUCGCUGCUCUCUCCACUUCAGAUUGAGGUAAACUUGUUUCCUCGUGUAGAGAAACGUGGCCGUGAGCAUAGUGCGCAGACAGCAUGAGCCUGUGGACAUGAAAUGAGUCUGAUUCACUGACUGCACACAGUAAGAGUGGAACUGGUCCACGUGUUUAUUGUAAUUAUUGUAAGACCAUGUCAGUGAAUGAGGCCCAAUGUGCUCUGCACAGAUGAGAGCAGAGAUGAGACGUUUGGUUGUAAUGAACAGUGGCACCUUUGGAUAAAUCCCAGCACCACCACGUCACAGAGUGCUGUGGACAAUAAAAGGCUUCAUUUCUUCAUUUCAGGGAACCUGAGAACCUGGAGAAAACCCACCCAGCACAGAGCUAGAAACCACUUAUUUACUACAGCUUUAAGCUCGGUCUGAUUUGUAAAGGUAUUGUGACGUUUGCCCCAUAAUGACGGAGACAAACGGCCUGUUUUAGUUCUGCACGGCUGCUCUGACUUACAACU